RNAcentral lists this transfer RNA (72 nucleotides) under Capra hircus (goat). It matches the Rfam family "tRNA". Rfam says of the family: Transfer RNA (tRNA) molecules are approximately 80 nucleotides in length. Their secondary structure includes four short double-helical elements and three loops (D, anti-codon, and T loops). RNAcentral also lists the same sequence under 1 other name. Lineage: Eukaryota; Metazoa; Chordata; Mammalia; Artiodactyla; Bovidae. The record is from Rfam by way of RNAcentral.
UCCCAGGUGGCUCAGAUGGUAAAGCAUCUGCCUGCAAUGCAGAAGACCUGGGUUCAAUCCCUGGGUCAGGAA